CGCUGGCAACAUCGGUCCAANCCUUAAAGUCAUCCUCAGUUCGGACUGGGGUCUGNAACCCGACCCCACGAAGCUGGAUUCGCUAGUAAUCGCGCAUCAGCCAUGGCGCGGUGAAUACGUUCCCGGGCCUUGUACACACCGCCCGUCAAGCCAUGAAAGCCGGGGGCGCCUGAAGUCCGUGACCGCGAGGGUCGGCCUAGGGUGAAACCGGUGAUUGGGGCUAAGUCGUAACAAGGUAUC
Molecule: ribosomal RNA, 240 nt
Filed under: uncultured bacterium
Lineage: Bacteria
Description: partial 16S ribosomal RNA
Rfam family: Bacterial small subunit ribosomal RNA
Source: RNAcentral